RNAcentral lists this ribosomal RNA (218 nucleotides) under Aureoumbra lagunensis. Its description in RNAcentral is "partial Bacterial small subunit ribosomal RNA". It matches the Rfam family "Bacterial small subunit ribosomal RNA", at positions 799 to 1017 of the family's 1533-position model. Lineage: Eukaryota; Pelagophyceae; Sarcinochrysidales; Sarcinochrysidaceae. The record is from RNAcentral.
GCCCUAAACGAUGUCUCCUAGUUGUCGGGUUUUAAUUAACUUGGUAACGCAGCUAACGCGUGAAGUAGACCGCCUGGGGAGUACGGUCGCAAGAUUAAAACUCAAAGGAAUUGACGGGGACCCGCACAAGCGGUGGAUGAUGUGGAUUAAUUCGAUGCAACGCGAAAAACCUUACCUACCCUUGACAUGUCAGGAAUCCUCUAGAGAUUGAGGAGUGC